Molecule: long non-coding RNA, 333 nt
Organism: Amphimedon queenslandica
Lineage: Eukaryota; Metazoa; Porifera; Demospongiae; Haplosclerida; Niphatidae
Exons: 3
Source: RefSeq, a predicted model, not a curated record
UGGCUAGCACUGGGUAACAGGUUCUGAGCCACAGCUGCCACUGGAAUGAAUGAGAGGAGCUCUUGCUCUCACUUAGUCUUCACACUAGUACUCACUCAGUCAGACUAUAAGAUUAUUGAAUGUGAGGAUUACACUUGUGUCAAUCGUAUCAUCUCAUUAAUUUGGCCGGCAGUGAGAGAUCAGGCAUUGCAAUGACUUCUGGUGAAAGAUUAAAGGAAGGAGCCAGAAUUAACAAGUCUUUGCAAACAUGUAUAUACAUGUACACUGGAUAAAGUCAUCACUGCUAUGAGAGAAAUCAACUGGAAUAAGAAUGAUGGUUUACAUACCUACUUU